AUUAACUCGUGUGGGUGCGAGAAGCGCCCUAUUAACCGUCCUGCUCUUCGGGACGGAGCCUUAACAGCUGCCUGCCGCUUGCUGUGAUGAAGUUUGGGUCUUACGCAAUGAUUCCCCGUGAACCGUGUCAGAUUGGGAACAAAGCAGCACUAAGCGGGCCCUAUCAUGUGCCGUGAGGGUGCCUGGCGGAGCAGUAAGCGCAGUAACGUGUUAAGGUUCCGUCGCGGAGAGCAGUUUUU
RNAcentral lists this signal recognition particle RNA (239 nucleotides) under Lachnospiraceae bacterium. RNAcentral's name for it is "signal recognition particle sRNA large type". It matches the Rfam family "Bacterial large signal recognition particle RNA". Rfam says of the family: The signal recognition particle (SRP) is a universally conserved ribonucleoprotein involved in the co-translational targeting of proteins to membranes. Archaeal SRP consists of a 7S RNA and homologues of the eukaryotic SRP19 and SRP54 proteins. The record is from RNAcentral. Lineage: Bacteria; Bacillati; Bacillota; Clostridia; Lachnospirales; Lachnospiraceae.